RNAcentral lists this ribosomal RNA (207 nucleotides) under uncultured bacterium. Its description in RNAcentral is "partial 16S ribosomal RNA". It matches the Rfam family "Bacterial small subunit ribosomal RNA", at positions 568 to 774 of the family's 1533-position model. The record is from RNAcentral.
CGUGCAGGCGGUUUGGUAAGUUGGAUGUGAAAGCUCCGGGCUUAACCCGGAGAUGUCGUUCAAAACUGCCAGACUAGAGGACAGUAGAGGGAGGUGGAAUUCCGGGUGUAGUGGUGAAAUGCUUAGAUAUCCGGAGGAACACCAGUGGCGAAAGCGGCCUCCUGGGCUGUUCCUGACGCUAAGACGUGAAAGCUAGGGUAGCAAACG